RNAcentral lists this ribosomal RNA (536 nucleotides) under Staphylococcus epidermidis. RNAcentral describes it as "bacterial SSU rRNA". It matches the Rfam family "Bacterial small subunit ribosomal RNA", at positions 1 to 519 of the family's 1533-position model. Lineage: Bacteria; Bacillati; Bacillota; Bacilli; Caryophanales; Staphylococcaceae. The record is from RNAcentral.
UUUAUGGAGAGUUUGAUCCUGGCUCAGGAUGAACGCUGGCGGCGUGCCUAAUACAUGCAAGUCGAGCGAACAGACGAGGAGCUUGCUCCUCUGACGUUAGCGGCGGACGGGUGAGUAACACGUGGAUAACCUACCUAUAAGACUGGGAUAACUUCGGGAAACCGGAGCUAAUACCGGAUAAUAUAUUGAACCGCAUGGUUCAAUAGUGAAAGACGGUUUUGCUGUCACUUAUAGAUGGAUCCGCGCCGCAUUAGCUAGUUGGUAAGGUAACGGCUUACCAAGGCAACGAUGCGUAGCCGACCUGAGAGGGUGAUCGGCCACACUGGAACUGAGACACGGUCCAGACUCCUACGGGAGGCAGCAGUAGGGAAUCUUCCGCAAUGGGCGAAAGCCUGACGGAGCAACGCCGCGUGAGUGAUGAAGGUCUUCGGAUCGUAAAACUCUGUUAUUAGGGAAGAACAAAUGUGUAAGUAACUAUGCACGUCUUGACGGUACCUAAUCAGAAAGCCACGGCUAACUACGUGCCAGCAGCCGCG